UACGUAGGGGGCAAGCGUUAUCCGGAAUCAUUGGGCGUAAAGCGCGUGUAGGCGGUUCCGUAAGUCCGCUCUGAAAGCCCAGGGCUCAACCCUGGGAGGCGGGUGGAUACUACGGAACUGGAGUACGGAAGAGGAGAUUGGAAUUCCUGGUGUAGCGGUGAAAUGCGCAGAUAUCAGGAGGAACACCGAUGGCGAAGGCAGGUCUCUGGGCCACUACUGACGCUGGAGAAGCGAAAGCAUGGGGAGCGAACAGG
Molecule: ribosomal RNA, 254 nt
Filed under: uncultured bacterium
Lineage: Bacteria
Description: partial 16S ribosomal RNA
Rfam family: Bacterial small subunit ribosomal RNA
Source: RNAcentral